Amblyraja radiata (thorny skate) is the source of this 1138-nucleotide long non-coding RNA. RefSeq lists it as uncharacterized. NCBI's taxonomy places the organism in Eukaryota, Metazoa, Chordata, Chondrichthyes, Rajiformes, Rajidae. The transcript has 5 exons. The record is from RefSeq and is a predicted model, not a curated record.
CGACGGUUGAAGCGCCCUCACGCCGCCGCCAGGCUCGAGCGAAAAGCACGCGGAGGGACCGGGGCCGACGUGCUGAUGCAGGAAAUCAACCCCAGAAUGAGACGAACUUGCCCAUCUCAUCCUUGGAAUCAUCCAGGCGACUAAACUUUGUGCCAACAUGAAAAACUAUCUUCAAUCCUGUCUCUCCACACUGGGAACAAUAGCGCAUAAUUGAAUAAUAUAAGACAGCAAUUGCAUGAAGUCCAUUUCCUUGCCAACGCACAGCACGAUUAUUGCCUCCUGAAGUGUGUCCCAACAGAUAUGAAUCCACACCCUUGGGGUAAAAAAAUAUAUAUUUAUCCGCAUCAAUUUGAAAGCUACCAGAAGCUGCUCGGGACCCCGCAAAGUGCCACAAUUCACAAAAGGAUGGGAGAAGAAGGUGGAUAAAAUUAGUUUAUCAUGGCACCGUGUUCAACACAGACAUUGUGUGCUGAAAUAGUAAGAAAUUGACUUGUUAUAGCUUCAUCAGGUUAAUUCAUUAAAUAAAUAAAAACCGGCGUAAAUAAUGGAAAGAAUUAUCAUUAAAAUGUAAAAAUAAUUGCAGUUAUGAAUUAUGAUUUUCCAAUAUUAAGUGUGAUCGCCUUUGCCUGAAAGGAUUAGAGCAGUGUCGUUGAGGGCUUCCUAAAUCAGUGAAUAGAAAGUCUGAUGAGAGAACGGGGCAAUUCUUUGGGAAUAUAGCUGGGGAAGUAUUAGUGGAGCACCAUUAUGACAGUGACCAUAAAUUAGGGCCUCUGAUUGAAAUGUUUAAAUGUUUUCUGACCACGGGGGAAAUGCCAAAUUGCAGGGAUUGGCCAGUGAGUUGAACAUCAGUGGCAGGAAAACUGUGGGGAAAAGUUCUGAGGGACAGGAUUAAUCUGAUUUGGAGAGACAGGGAUUAACAAAAGAGAAUCAGCAUGGCUUUGCUAAUGGGAGGUCCUGUUUGACUAGUUUGAUUGAUUUUUUGAAAGAGAGACUUACGUGUGUCAAUGAGGGUGGCGUGGGAGACUGAUCCUAGAGAUAAGAGACCAUGGGAUUCAGCAAAUUUAUCAAAUUAGAUCUGAAAUUGCCUUGGUGACAGGAAGCAGAGGGCAAUGUCGCAGGGGGAUCGGAGGUCUGUCGU